UUGAAACAACAAUAAUAUAAACUAUCAACGCAACAAUUAUUGAAUCAAUAAAAUAAAAUAUUGAACAGUAACUACUGUAACAAUUAUUGAGUAGUGCCUUCUUACGUAAGAAUCAAUAAUUCCAAAAAUACUGUGCAAUACCGUGUACUACAGUGCAACCACGCGUAUUACUGUAUUUUAACCACCUGGUAUUCCAAUAGUAUUAACGGUAACAAUUACACCAUUAUUUAUAAAACUCAAACUUUGUAGUUUUCU
Molecule: long non-coding RNA, 255 nt
Filed under: Panax ginseng (ginseng)
Lineage: Eukaryota; Viridiplantae; Streptophyta; Magnoliopsida; Apiales; Araliaceae
Description: long non-coding RNA (PGIN_LNC017422)
Source: RNAcentral